RNAcentral lists this unclassified non-coding RNA (204 nucleotides) under soil metagenome. Its description in RNAcentral is "partial contains 5.8S ribosomal RNA, internal transcribed spacer 2, and large subunit ribosomal RNA". The record is from RNAcentral.
AAGACUAUAGACCUGCGGAGUACCUGCGGAAGGAUCAUUAUAGAGUUUUCUAAACUCCCAACCCAUGUGAACUUACCUUUUGUUGCCUCGGCAGAAGUUAUAGGUCUUCUUAUAGCUGCUGCCGGUGGACCAUUAAACUCUUGUUAUUUUAUGUAAUCUGAGCGUCUUAUUUUAAUAAGUCAAAACUUUUAACAACGGAUCUCU